GAUGAACGCUAGCGAUAGGCUUAACACAUGCAAGUCGAGGGGCAGCAUGGUCUUAGCUUGCUAAGACUGAUGGCGACCGGCGCACGGGUGCGUAACGCGUAUGCAACUUGCCUCACAGAGAGGGAUAACCCGUCGAAAGACGGACUAAUACCGCGUACACUUGGGAUAGGGCAUCCUGACCCAAGGAAAUGAAAUUCGCUGUGAGAUAGGCAUGCGUCCCAUUAGCUAGUUGGUGAGGUAACGGCUCACCAAGGCGACGAUGGGUAGGGGAACUGAGAGGUUGAACCCCCACACUGGUACUGAGACACGGACCAGACUCCUACGGGAGGCAGCAGUGAGGAAUAUUGGUCAAUGGGCGAGAGCCUGAACCAGCCAAGUCGCGUGAAGGAUGACUGUCUUAUGGAUUGUAAACUUCUUUUAUACGGGAAUAACAAGAGCCACGUGUGGCUCCCUGCAUGUACCGUAUGAAUAAGCAUCGGCUAACUCCGUG
Molecule: ribosomal RNA, 490 nt
Filed under: uncultured bacterium
Lineage: Bacteria
Description: partial 16S ribosomal RNA
Rfam family: Bacterial small subunit ribosomal RNA
Source: RNAcentral